AUGUAUGUCAAAAACUGUCAACUGGGAGAACGGCAGUGAUUUGAGUUGUAUACAAUCAUGCCUUCGUGUGGACGUCGCAGUAGUUAGUCCAUACAGUACCGUCAUGAGUGGUACAGUCCGACAGAUUACUGUAGCUUCGGAUCCAGGCACCCCGUACUUCCUGCGAGUGGACUGGGCCUUAGACCUGGGGGCUGGCUUCACACUAGCUCUCACUGAUGGCAGCUCGGCAUGGAUCGGAGAGGUUUCAGAAGACGAGGUGACAAGGGAAGCCAACGAUGUGGGAGCCACAAGGGAAAGAUAUGUUGAGGAUCUUCUCCAAGCGCUAACAGGAGGUGAAGGAGGAAGGAGAGGAGGCGACAAGGGGGUGUAUUCUUUCCACGUCAGUCCAGAUCGCUGUCAUCUCUCAUAUCAGAAGAUCUGUAAUGACAUCUCGGUGCACUUGGGUUCUGUGGAGCUCCAGCCAGCUGCAGACCCACUAGAGCUGAACCGGGAGAUGAUUGGCCAGUCCCUAAAGCGCACUACAUAUCUGGAGUCCAAAAAUUGCCAGCUGUUGGAGGAGAACCGUAGGCUAAAACAGGAGCACCAGAGAAUUCUCAUAGAACAGGAGCAGCAGGUUGAAGAUAAGGAGAUGUUGGAGGGCGAGCUGUACUCACGUUUCGUCAUGGUGCUGAAUGAGAAGAAGGCCAAGAUCAGAGGCCUGCAGGAUGCUGUCCGCCAGCUACAACACACUGACGGCCAGCAGAGAGAUGAGGAAGGGAGACAAAGCGACGAUGACACAACUCAGGGUGACGACGACGGUCAGGACAGAAGAGAGGAGACAGUUCAGAGCAUCCAUCCAUCCCAGGAGCCAACUAUUCUCCUCACAGGUCGUGAUCUGGUGUGCUAUGGCAUCUCUGUGGACCGAACCUUUUCUGAUGAGGAAGAUGAACAGCGGAGCCGGAAGCGUAGGUUGCUUCACAGCCUGAGCCCAGAACCUUCUGAGCAGGAAUGAAGCCUCAGGUUCGUCAGAUAACCAAUGCAACCAAUCUAUCACCAUAUUUGGAUUCUGAUGAUACCUAAGCGUCUGCUGAAGACCACAGGUGGCCGCCUGGAUAAUCCCCCAACAUGCGCUUGCUGGUGUAGUAAUCCUCAACAGGAAUGUCACACUCGCUCCUUUAAACAUCCCAUAAAUAAGGCCUUUUAUAUGCCCAGAUCAGUUCCUAAGGAUCAUCUGCGGAUGAGUGCAUGACAUGGAGGAUGAGACAAAGUGUGAAGGACAAGAUAGGAAACUGUACUGAAUAUUUCAGUUUGUGGUUUCAUUCAGAACAUAACGAUAGCAUGCAUUGAAUGCAGAAUAUUAUAUAUAUAUAACAGGCCUGUUUGUGUUGUUUUCUUAUUUUGGAUUGGACCUGAUGAUACUUUUUUCUUAUUUUAAAGAUAUUCUAAAUGUUUCCACUUUCAAUCAGUUGGUUCAAGAACAAAUAUUUUAUUUUAUUUUGAAAAUCACAAAUGUUCCCUGGAAAUGUAUUGCAAAUACAUGAAGGUAAUAUGUUAAUAUGUGAAAUGUUGUCAAUGUUCUUCAAAUGUGUUCUGGGUUAAUAUAUAUUAAGAAAAGCACGUUAAUUCCAACCUGACUUGAAUAAAAAA
Molecule: RNA transcript, 1626 nt
Organism: Anarrhichthys ocellatus (wolf-eel)
Lineage: Eukaryota; Metazoa; Chordata; Actinopteri; Perciformes; Anarhichadidae
Gene: xrcc4
Gene name: X-ray repair complementing defective repair in Chinese hamster cells 4
Exons: 8
Source: RefSeq, a predicted model, not a curated record